This is a long non-coding RNA of Brienomyrus brachyistius, 2573 nucleotides long. RefSeq lists it as uncharacterized. Lineage: Eukaryota; Metazoa; Chordata; Actinopteri; Osteoglossiformes; Mormyridae. The transcript has 4 exons. The record is from RefSeq and is a predicted model, not a curated record.
AGCACCACAAGAAGGAACGAAGCACAACGGUCACUCGUCAGCUAAUUUAAAUCGGCGCAGUUUUAUGAGAAUCAGAGACGGAGAAUUACACUGCAAAACAACGCGUUUUCCUCUAUGUAAACAGACAGCAGUUUAUCAAGGGGCUGAUGGACAGAACGUUUGCUCUACGGAGGCACGAGGUGGUAGAAGAUUCACCUUUCAUUGCUGAAUUCAAGAACAGAUGGCCAGCACUCUUUACUGAGCAAGAGGUAUCUGCGGAAUUCAGCAGGAUUACAAUUCCUUUGGUGUCCAAAUUCAUGGGUCAGCUUGAUCGUUUCUCCACCCAGCUCCUCAAAAGUUUCAAAAAGAAAGGAGGAGCCGCCGCACAGAAGAUCUCAGACAUCCUGUCAGUUACGAUACAUAGCAAUGUUCUUUGGCCUGUGGUGGACUAGGCCUCCUCAAAUGUGACCUGGAUUAGCUUGUUGGCAGCUAUAUUUUCUAAAUCUGGCAUUGGAAUAAGAAACACAAAGACUGCAGACAACAUCUAAAAUAGUGUUUAUUCAGGGUAUCAAACAUCAAGUUAUGAAAGAUAACUGGAUUGGUCAAACCAGUUUUCUGCCAGGUUUAUGAUUUUAGGAUAGAGUGCCCUCUAGUGGUUGUGUGUACACAUGCACACGCUACCCCAAGGCACACAGAGCAGACAGAAGACAGACAGAAUACUACACAUAUUCAGCAGCUCACACAUGCGGCCUGAAAAUGGUUAAUUUGCUGCAGCCAGUCUGGAAUCGGCCAGAGAGUAGAGAGAGUUUGUUAUUUCUAGGUGAGAACUGGCGAAUAAAAGCAUGUUGUAGAUUUCAGUAGAAUCCUUCUGGGGAAGAUCAGCCAGGUUGUACAAUACAAAUGUCAAAUCAUACAAAUGGCCAAGGUCCGCUCCAUCCUGGAUGAUAGAGUGUGACUGUUAGCGUGGGAAGAGGGGCAUUGAACAGGAGUAUCUCAGGCAUUUUAAAUUCAAGAAUAUGAUUAACAAAGGAUAGGAGUAGCCAAGUUAAGGAAUCUUAGACUGUGGGUGGGUGGCAUUUACAGGUUACUAAGAAUGUGUGAGUAGGCAGGGUAUGAGAAGAGACAAGUGUGGAUUAGGGUUUAGAGCCUCAAACCAGCUCAGGAUGUUAACCAGUGGCUAGUUAGUCAUCUGGAAAUAAAGGAUGGUUCCAGUGUGACACUCAAUUAUUCAAACAUAUUGAAAGGGAAUUCAUUUCACAUUAAACCGACAUAUCCCCAAAAAUCAAAUAUUAUAAAAAAGAUUUACCUCUACAUUAUGAACAGGGACAGCUAAAUCCAAAGGAUUUGAUUCUACAAAUAAAUAAAGUAUUAAAGUAAAAAAACCACAACAAAGUGCCACUAAAGCCACAUUAAGCAAAUAGCUAAUAGUAAGCUAUUAAGUGUAUGAAUUCUAUUUAGAAUUGAUGUUGUAUAAAUGAUCACAAUUGGAAACAUACCUUGUGACUUUGACAUUAAUCGUUUUGAAAGAUAAGUCAGUAACACCAGCAGGAAGAACAUCAGCAGCCCAAAGGUUGAUCCAAGCUAAAUUCUGCCACUGCCAAGUGUGCCUGUUUAGAAAAUGUCAGGUUUGGUUUAAUUAGAUUAUGUUUUGCCCCAGCAAACCAUACUAAGGAUAAGAGACUCACAUUCUGUCAUUAACACAGGGGCAGUUACUUCAGCCUCAAUGCUAUUUUAUAUCAACAGCUAGAAAGGAAGAAGGCAUAUUAAUGCAUUGUACAGCUUAAACCACAGGAAGUGGUCACACCAGACAAGCUCAAAAUGACUAUAAAUUAAAACAUGGCAUAUGAUUUAGUUGCUAGGACUUUCAUUUUAAGUAAAAUACUGGCAUUAUAGCAAUUUCACUGAGGUAAAUAGAUGCAUGUUUCACUGAAAUCUCAGUGCAUAAACCAGGAACCUCAGGGGCCCCACUACCUCUCAGUAACAGUGCAGUUCUUCUAGCUCAGCUAAACUCUGCCUCCGGAACCUGUUUGCAAAAGACAGCCCACUGCAGAGUUAGCAAACCUGCUUCAAUGAUGUCCCAGUGACUUAGACAGCAAAGGUCUUGUUUAACUUAUUUUUAAAUGCAAAUUUGCACAUUAUCACAAGUAAUUAAUUUGAAAACCUUGAGGAAUAAAUACACAAUUUAAAUCGUACAGUAUGUGGGUACUGUGUAUUACACAUAAGGGAUUCAGUCAGGGCUUUGAUAAACAAUGAGUGAGGAUAAACUUAUUAUCCUGUAUUUAAAAGAAUUAAUUCAGCAAGCCUAUCUUGAUACUGUCACGAUCGCAGGCUGACGACGCAGCGAUCGUGCGGGUCGCCCGACAGGAACAGGCAGACAAGGCGAAUUCAAGGCAAACCCGGGGUUUAUUUGGGAGAUCCGGGACAGGGAACAUAGGACGGCUACUGACAUCAAUGACGGACCCCGCUAACAGGGACGGCGACACCAGUACUUCGCAACAUAUAUGUAAUCAGACGGAUACGGACAGUCGAUGUCCACUUCUCCUCCUACAUAUCCCCGCACUUCAUUGAUCUUCAACGCCAGUACAAACGGCAGC